AACGAACGCUGGCGGCAUGCCUAACACAUGCAAGUCGAACGAGACCUUCGGGUCUAGUGGCGCACGGGUGCGUAACGCGUGGGAAUCUGCCCUUGGGUUCGGAAUAACAGUUAGAAAUGACUGCUAAUACCGGAUAAUGUCUUCGGACCAAAGAUUUAUCGCCCAGGGAUGAGCCCGCGUAGGAUUAGCUAGUUGGUGAGGUAAAGGCUCACCAAGGCGACGAUCCUUAGCUGGUCUGAGAGGAUGAUCAGCCACACUGGGACUGAGACACGGCCCAGACUCCUACGGGAGGCAGCA
Molecule: ribosomal RNA, 297 nt
Filed under: uncultured bacterium
Lineage: Bacteria
Description: partial 16S ribosomal RNA
Rfam family: Bacterial small subunit ribosomal RNA
Source: RNAcentral